This 70-nucleotide transfer RNA is filed under the name Sinacroneuria dabieshana. RNAcentral's name for it is "tRNA-Met". It matches the Rfam family "tRNA". From Rfam's summary of the family: Transfer RNA (tRNA) molecules are approximately 80 nucleotides in length. Their secondary structure includes four short double-helical elements and three loops (D, anti-codon, and T loops). Lineage: Eukaryota; Metazoa; Arthropoda; Insecta; Plecoptera; Perlidae. The record is from RNAcentral.
AGAAAGAUCAGCUAAAUUAAGCUAAUGGGUUCAUACCCCAUUUAUAGAGGUUCUAACCCUCUUUUUUCUA